Molecule: long non-coding RNA, 542 nt
Organism: Haliaeetus leucocephalus (bald eagle)
Lineage: Eukaryota; Metazoa; Chordata; Aves; Accipitriformes; Accipitridae
Exons: 3
Source: RefSeq, a predicted model, not a curated record
GUAACCUAGACCCAAGAUGCAAGUUCAUGGAUUGCAAGACAGGAGGCCAAACACUGAAACAGCAUCUGACAAAAGUCUUCUUGAUACGCAUCGAAUCCUGACCUGGGCUGGAAAGUAAUUUUUGUGAACAUAUUUACAGAAUGAUGUGUAACAGAUCCAGCAAAGGCUGAAGGCUGGUAAUAGUGACUGAUGUAGUACCAUGGAGAAAAGAAACCUGAACACUGCUCUCCAAGGAGGCUGAGCGAGGAGUGAGGGCUGAUAUGUUGAAUGCCUCCCUGCAAAUCUUGAAUCCAGCCUUGCCAUGGUUUGCUCGCUCGUUAAGCCAAUGGGUAUUGCACCGAGGUAAAACCACAGGAGAAUUUUUUGUAUUCUGUAGCUGACAAAGGGAAUGUCCUGAAUUUAUUCUAAUGGCAUGGUUUUACCUUCAGGUAGGUGUUGGCAUGUGCAAACUAUUUCAAAAUGUCUGCUGCAAUGACUGCAAGCAUGAAAUGGUCCAUAGGAGGUUACAUAUGCAAGCACACUGUCUGUGGGCAGGGUGUAUA